RNAcentral lists this ribosomal RNA (1060 nucleotides) under uncultured bacterium. RNAcentral describes it as "bacterial SSU rRNA". It matches the Rfam family "Bacterial small subunit ribosomal RNA", at positions 208 to 1251 of the family's 1533-position model. The record is from RNAcentral.
UAUUUAUAAGCUACCACUAGAAGAUGGGUCUGCGUCUGAUUAGCUAGUUGGUGAGGUAAUGGCCACCAAGGCGACGAUCAGUAGCCGGUCUGAGAGGAUGAACGGCCACACUGGGACUGAGACACGGCCCAGAUCCUACGGGAGGCAGCAGUGGGGAAUCUUCCGCAAUGGACGAAAGUCUGACGGAGCAACGCCGCGUGAGUGAGAAGGUUUUCGGAUCGUAAAACUCUGUUUUCAGGGACGAAUGUGCGAUAUGUGAAUAAUGUGUUGUAAUGACGGUACCUGACAAGAAAGCCACGGCUAACUACGUGCAGCAGCCGCGGUAAUACGUAGGUGGCAAGCGUUGUCCGGAAUUAUUGGGGUAAAGCGCGCGCAGGUGGGAUAAUAAGUCUGAUUUAAAGUUCGGGGCUCAACCCGGAAGCAUUUGGAUACUGUUAUUCUUGAGUGCAGGAGAGGAAAGUGGAAUUCCUAGUGUAGCGGUGAAAUGCGUAGAUAUUAGGAGGAACACCAGUGGCGAAGGCGACUUUCUGGACUGUGUCUGACACUGAGGCGCGAAAGCCAGGGUAGUGAACGGGAUUAGAUACCCCGGUAAUCCUGGCCGUAAACGAUGGGUACUAGGUGUUGGGGGGUAUGACCCCUCCAGUGCCGGAGUUAACGCAAUAAGUACCCCCGCUGGGGAAGUACGGCCGCCAAGGUUGAAAACUCAAAGGAAUUGACCGGGGGCCCGGCACAAGCGGUGGAAGUAUGUGGUUUAAUUCGACGCAACGCGAAGAACCUUACCAAGGCUUGACAUCGUCUGAUGAUCCUAGAGAUAGGAAGUUCUUCUUCGGAAGACAGAUAGACAGGUGGUGCAUGGCUGUCGUCAGCUCGUGUCGUGAGAUGUUGGGUUAAGUCCCGCAACGAGCGCAACCCUUAUCCUAUGUUGCCAGCACGUAAUGGUGGGAACUCAUGGGAGACUGCCGUGGAUAACACGGAGGAAGGUGGGGAUGACGUCAAGUCAUCAUGCCCCUUAUGUCUUGGGCUACACACGUACUACAAUGGGCUUUAAUAGAGGGUAGCG